This is a non-coding RNA of Oryza sativa Japonica Group (Japanese rice), 760 nucleotides long. The record is from RefSeq and is a predicted model, not a curated record. NCBI's taxonomy places the organism in Eukaryota, Viridiplantae, Streptophyta, Magnoliopsida, Poales, Poaceae.
CGCGGUACAGGUUGAGCUCGCCGGACGGUACGGACAGCCUGCUGCUGAGAGGCUCAGGUAUGUCAUGGUCAUCACCACUGCAAAAACACAAACCCCAAAAAUUUCAUCAAUUUUUUUUCGCUUCCAAUCUUAAUGACCAUGUUACUAAUUUGAUUACCCAUUUUCAGAAUUGGUUAUGAACCAUUAGCAUGGAUAUGGUUUAGCAUUGUGGGGAUUGAUGCUAUAACUGAUAACAUUUUCAGUUGUUACCUUUCUGAAGAUGCAGGCUCAGGAUCAGGGCAUUCUACAGGCAUUAUCUCUGGGCUCUCUCCAUCCAUCUCGGAGCUAACAGGGACAAACCUGAUCGACUUACAAGCGGAACAAUCCGGUGCUUAAUCUUCGAUCUCUUACAGGGCUCGGCCAAUCCGCCAAUAGGAGGUAGACAUGGAAACAAUUAUAUGCCUUCCAGAGUUGAUUCGAGAAGGCAUAAAUAGGGUAGAGAGCCUCUCCUCCAGCUCUGAGUUGCUCCUCUCCAGGUCCUUCACCCUCGCCUCCAGCUCACUCAUGGCAUUUGUGGAGAUCGAUCAGAAUUCAUCUUUCAUCUAUUCAGUGAUAGAUCGCGAGAUUCUUCAACCCCCUGCUACCAAUUCUGAGUUUGUGUUCAAGGCAUUCUAUCUCCUUUGUUUCUGGCGCGGUGGCGCCUAUGAAAUCAUCGACAUGACAAUGUAUUCCACGGAGAACCUUCAUCAAUCCAAAAGAUUUUGAGAUUAUCUGUGUGGAA